CACGUAGGGUGCGAGCGUUGUCCGGAAUUAUUGGGCGUAAAGAGCUCGUAGGCGGUGUGUCGCGUCGGCCGUGAAAACCUGCAGCUUAACUGUGGGCUUGCGGUCGAUACGGGCAUCACUGGAGUUCGGCAGGGGAGACUGGAAUUCCUGGUGUAGCGGUGAAAUGCGCAGAUAUCGGGAGGAACACCAGUGGCGAAGGCGGCACUCUGGGCCGGAACUGACGCUGAGGAGCGAAAGCGUGGGGAGCGAACAGG
This 254-nucleotide ribosomal RNA is filed under the name uncultured bacterium. RNAcentral describes it as "partial 16S ribosomal RNA". It matches the Rfam family "Bacterial small subunit ribosomal RNA", at positions 524 to 776 of the family's 1533-position model. The record is from RNAcentral.